RNAcentral lists this transfer RNA (84 nucleotides) under Fasciola hepatica (liver fluke). It matches the Rfam family "tRNA". From Rfam's summary of the family: Transfer RNA (tRNA) molecules are approximately 80 nucleotides in length. Lineage: Eukaryota; Metazoa; Platyhelminthes; Trematoda; Plagiorchiida; Fasciolidae. The record is from Rfam by way of RNAcentral.
GGCCUCGUAGCUCAGUUGGUAGAGCGCUCGCGGUACUAGGGCGAGGGUAAUGACCAUGCUUGGGUUCGAAUCCCACCGAGGCCA